This 344-nucleotide long non-coding RNA is filed under the name Gossypium barbadense (sea-island cotton). RNAcentral describes it as "long non-coding RNA (GBAR_LNC002761)". The record is from RNAcentral. Lineage: Eukaryota; Viridiplantae; Streptophyta; Magnoliopsida; Malvales; Malvaceae.
UUGCCCGGGGCCCAAUAAAACCAAACCCAAAUUAAACCUAGCCCAUUACCGAGUUACAAGCCCAAACCCAAUUUUGGCCCAACCUAAUCCCAUUACACUAGCCCAACCCGAACACACACAAAAAAAAAACUUUAGCCACCUAGUGCCACCCCUAUUGUCUGCCACCAACACACCUGCUCCACUUACACCUGCAAAAGCCAAAAGAAGAAAAAAAACAAAAAGGGGCAGAAAAGAAGCAAGAAAACAAGGAAAUAGACAAUAGCAAAUCCAUUGUAUUUCGGUUAUAAAGCCUGAAAUCCCGGAUUUUUUGGAAAAAAAACACGAAUAUGGAAAUAAAAGAGAGG